Molecule: long non-coding RNA, 206 nt
Organism: Cyprinus carpio (common carp)
Lineage: Eukaryota; Metazoa; Chordata; Actinopteri; Cypriniformes; Cyprinidae
Exons: 3
Source: RefSeq, a predicted model, not a curated record
CCAGUCCAGCAGGAUGGCAGUAGCUGUGGCGUCAUUGUCGUCUUGAUGGCAAGGGGAAUAAUGAAUGCAUUUCCAGCUGUUCCCGUUUUACAAUUUGGAACUUCCAGAAAGGAAAUGGGCAAUGAACGGAAAAUUAUGGCUCUGCAGAUACUCAAAGCAUCAGUGUUUGAUGAAGCCGAAAACUGUGCCAUGUGUUCACUUAAAAA